GCGGAUGUGGCGAAAUUGGUAGACGCACCGGAUUUAGGUUCCGACGCCGCGAGGCGUGAGAGUUCGAGUCUCUCCAUCCGCACCA
RNAcentral lists this transfer RNA (85 nucleotides) under Neisseria sp. RNAcentral's name for it is "tRNA-Leu". It matches the Rfam family "tRNA". From Rfam's summary of the family: Transfer RNA (tRNA) molecules are approximately 80 nucleotides in length. Lineage: Bacteria; Pseudomonadati; Pseudomonadota; Betaproteobacteria; Neisseriales; Neisseriaceae. The record is from RNAcentral.